RNAcentral lists this long non-coding RNA (2652 nucleotides) under Zea mays. RNAcentral describes it as "long non-coding RNA (ZMAY_LNC001115)". The record is from RNAcentral. Lineage: Eukaryota; Viridiplantae; Streptophyta; Magnoliopsida; Poales; Poaceae.
UCUUUGCUCUUUGCUAUAAAGCUGGGGCAGGGAAGUAUUCCCUUGAUGUCCCUGUGAUUCUUAACCAAAGCAUGUUUGUGUGACGCAUGCCCAUGCUCUUGUGACCAAAGUGUGUUAGCUUAAGUUAUCAUUCCACCCUAGGAACCCUCUUAUGCCCUCUAAAUCCUACAUGUGGUGACAAAAACCCAGCAGAUCUCCCACCUCACCAUGCCCAAGGAUUUUCAAAGGUUUUCUCAGUCAUGUGACGUUUGUUCCGUGCUCAUCUAAGGUCAGUGGUGCUCGCCAAGUUAGUUUUCCUAACUCUACUGCUUUGUAUUGCUCUGAACGUGGUCGUGCCACCGUGGUCUGGCGCCACGGACGGUCCUGCCGUCGACCCGUCAGCUGGCGCUUUCCCUGAGCAACUUCAUAGGAAGGUCCGCAGUGCUCUAUGUGCUUCUAGUUGGAGCUCUACUGUACUGUUGUCCUAGGAUCGAGUUUAUCAUGUCGGAUCUCACUGGCGUCGUGGUCAGAGCCUAUGAGUGUCUGACAUGGGUGUUGAAGGGUUGUGCCCGGGUUGUGUUGGCCGCGGACAUGUCUCAGUAGUAGUUGGGGGACGCCGGAGAGCAGCGCCGACGCGGUCGUAGGCGCCGGGUCACCGGAGUAGCACGACGGGCAUCUGGUUCAAGUUUUUCUGAAGUUGGUUGUGAAGCCGGGUUGGAUGUGUUAAACCAAGAUCUCUCUAAGUGAAGUUGGUUGUAGGAUUUUUAGAGCUGUUAGUAAAUAUUAAGUGAAUUAAGGGUGCUCUUAAAGGACUAUUUGAAUUUUAGAAAUAAGAAUUGAGCACCAAAAAAAUCAUGGAAUUUUUUUGAGAAAUUUGUUAUCAGAAGCUUAUCACUUGGUAAAAGUUUGGGGCUGUUUGGAACCUUUUUGCUCUAGAAACCUUGUAAGCCCCAAAAUAGAGUGGUUAAUCCCUAAUCAAGUGUGGGUUAAUGCUUUGGAAAGGAGAUAAGGUUAUCUAGGGAAGAGAUGCAGUUGCUUAAGAAGUUUUAAGCUUUUGGAUGAGAUAUAAGUUGGAUUAGUUCCUUGGUUUACCUAAGUGAAUUCAAUUGGUCACUUUUAUUGAAUGCUAGGUUGUGUAGAAGUAUGUGUAUACUUGUCAUGUACUUAUUUAGGAGUGUUUAUGUUCCCCACUUCUCCUUAUGAGAGUUUGCAUUCCAUAUCAUUACAUAAGCAUACAUGUAUUUGUAAUUGACUUGUAGAACACCUAGAAGAAGUGGUGUUUGAAGGAGUCUACUCCAGUGGCUGCUGAUCAAGUGGAGGAGCCAUCUAACUGUGUAUUGGGUAGAGGGUUCUAGAGCCUCUUCUCUGCAACAAAGGCAAGCCCCGGUGCAUUUGCCCCUUCCUUGUAUUUUUAAAAAAGACUUUUAUACACUUAAGUCUAGUGAAAUGUGCAUUAAGUUUAUAGGAAUUGCUUGGAAACUAUUUGAUGCAUCGCUUACCUUGAUAUCCAUGCCUUUAUAGAUACUUCUGAUGGAGUAUCAAAAUAUGAUUUACAAAAAAAAUGCUUAGCCCUGCUUAGAUCUUGUGGAUAGAGGUUGCCCUUUGCAAUAAUGCCUAGCUCAGGGGUUAUCCCGAGGAAGGAUGACUUCUACCUGCAAGAAUAUUUUCAUUGGGAGCAUGGUGUGAUCUUACUGCAAAGUUCACUAUAAUGCUCUUUUCAUCCUAAGGAACACAAAACAAUCCUAAGGGUGGAAGUACUUAACUCGAGACUUGGGCUAGGAACAGGUGAUGCUCCACCCAGGUUAAUUAAGGAUUGGAUGCGUAUGUAGGCCUAUAUGAUCAAGGACUAUUUUAACUGGCCACAUGCCGUGGAUAUGGGACAGGGUAAGCUUGAACCUAACUAUUCCAUACGUGAAAAGAUAACCGCGCACUGGGCGUGGGAGAUGGUGGGAGUAGCGUGUACCCUCCUGGCUAGAGGCUGGACGGAGGAGUAUUGUGCUCCCAGGUAGCGCGGACCGGUUCACGUUGUGGAGGAUCUAUGGGAACGGUUGACAUAUGCAAGGGUUAAGUGCUACAUAUGUCGUGUGGUUAGAGAUCCUCAACUGAGUAAAUCGAUUUGGAUCGCCGUUAUAUCCCCGGAUAGUGAAGACUUGAUCUCUGACCUACAACCUAAGUCAGGAUGUGAACAUUAUGAAUAAAAAUGAUGUUGUAUUGAUGAGAUGGUGAAAUUAGACUAGAUGCAAACAGAGUCUAUUAAUAUUUAAUCUGGCGUUAAAAUGUUGAAAGUAAGGACUCACUUUAGUAGGCUAUUUCUGCAAAAGUACCUAAGUUGAUUCUUGCUAAAGCCUUUUCCUUGAUUCCUAUUUAACCAGCAUAUCCUUGAGAGUCAUUUUUCCUUAGUCGGGUAAGACUUGCGAAAGUACACUUCGUACUCAGGGUUUUCGAACCCAUGUUGUUGUAGGUGAUGAGGAGUACUCUAGGUGUUCCUGUGGCUGGAGGGCGUUUCCAGUUCUGGAAGAGGAUUAGUUAGGCUUGUGUAUAAGUUUUGGAGGGUUCCUACCUUCCUGCUAUUGUAAUAAGUUAUGCACUUUGAGUAUAUCAGGACUUGUAAUAAAUGUAACUCUUCCUAUGUAAUAAACUUCAGUUUUAGAAAUGAAAAGAAUGUUUUAUAAA